CCGUAGAGGAGAAUAACUCACAGAGAAGGGCAGUGGGAAUAUUCCAGGCCAGGGUCUUGGAAACCACCUUAGUCACCUUCUUCAGCAUCCCCUGGUCAGAGGAUUCAGCAGCUCCCAAGCAAGUGCCCAGACAGUGGGGUGUCCCAGUGAACUGAAAGUACCCAUCCCUAAGACAGUGGAUGGUGCCGUUUGAACAGCGUCACUCUUGCGUGGUCAGCUCGGGCUGAUGUGACCAAUUCCACAGACGACCGGGAUAACCGAUUCCACAGACCGGGAUAACCAAUUCCACAGAUCGGGGGGCUUAAACCACAGAAAGGCAUUUCCUUAUGAUUCUGGAACCUGGAAGUUCACAAUCAAGUGAGGAGCAAGAAAUGAAAGCCAGCAUCUGCGUGUCACCUGCAGAGCGCCCUGCAGCUGGUCCUCUCAUUUGCCCUCCAAGUCAGCUCACAGGCUCAGCCUUAACACGAGGAAAGAGCUCCAAGGAGUUAAGAGACAUACACUGACUGUUCUCUCCUUCUGGAACUUUCUCCCUUCCCAUGGGCGCCCACAGCCCCCGGGCUUCCCUGUCAUAACUCUCGUCAUUGCCACCUGCUCCUCGUGGGCCUCCCCCAAGGCUGUGAGCUCCAGAGAGCAGGGUGGUGUCUCUCUUUCUCGCAUCUCUAUUUACAGCAUCCAGCAUAGAGCCUGGCCUCAGAAACCCUCCAAGUGCUUGUUUGUAGCAGACCAUUGUGUGGCUAUGCCCUGAAUCAGAGCUGGAAUUCACCCAAAGGAAAACAGAAAAGAUUCUUUUAGGUGACGUGGGUUUCAAAUAAUUUGAUACGGAAACUUCAGGGAAGUCAUGGGAGAAAUUAGAAUUCUGGACAUCCUUAUGACUAUUUUAAUUCAAUUUCAAUUCAUUUCCACAAACAUUUUUCUCAUGCCUGCUCUGUGCUAGGCACUGCUGAACAAACGGAACAAAAAAUCCACCCUUAUGCAGCUUACAUUCUAAUGGAGAAACAGAAAUGAUACAACAAAGUAAAUAAACAAGUUAUGUGGCAUUUUAGUAGUAAGCACCAUGGAGAAAAAAAUAAAGUGAAGAAAUAGCAAAAGCCACUGCAGAGGCUGCAGGUGGGACUAAGAGUGAAGAGGUGAGUGAGUCAUAUGGGUGUCUGAGGGAACCUGCUCCAGGCAGAGGGAGUGACAAGUGCAAACGCCCUGGGGCAGGAACUGCAAGGAAGUCAGCAAGGCUGGAGUUGCGUGAGCAAUGAAAGAAAGAAAAGAAAGAAGAUUCGUCCAGAGAGGCAAGACUCGGAGGUCUUUGUAGUCCUGCGUAGGCCAUUGUAAAGCCUUUGGUGUUUUACUUUGAGUGAAAUGGGGAGGACUUCACAAAUAAUAGGAUUUAUUUUCAGUCAUAGUGGGAUUUUAUUUGAGGGGGCGGGUUGAAUAGUUGAAUAGCCACCAUAUCUUCCUGUGCCCCCAAACCUGGCUUGAACCCAAGUGCAACUAACGACAAACGUAGUGCCCACUCCGGAACCCAUGCCUCCAAGAAGGGAGAGGCAAGAGAGGAAGAGGCCCUCCACUUUGAAGCCUGAGCCCCGGGCCACGGUGGAGAGAGCUCUGAGCAGCUCUAUGAGGGAGUGUGCGGCCCUCUUGGUGACUUAGCCUCCACAGUGCCAGGAAUGUGGUGUCUGCCACCAGACCGCUAUUGUGAAUUGAAUGGGGAAAAGGUAAAGGGAGAAAUGCAACCCCCAGGGCUGGGGCUGUGCAGCCUGCAGGUUGCGCAAUAGACUCUGCUGGCCUCAGGCCUGGCUCUCCACAAUCUGGUCCCCUCCCCACGCCCUCAGCAAGCCUCUGGGUCACAGGACUAAAAAGCUGCUUCCAAUUAGAUUCACUGAACCCCUUGGGCCCUAGAGGGAGGAACUCGACAGGAGCCAUUGCUCUGGGUGUAGGGAGGAAGAGGAGGAGGUGAUCAGGGAGGUGAGGUGGGAGGAUCAGGCAAGCACCUAAUCACUGCUUGCCUGGGUGCUCACCGCUCCCAAGCAGUGCUGCAGGCUGGUGUGAAGAGAGUGACCCGGGAAGCUCCAAGACCCAGAUUUAAACUCAGUUAUGACGUUUCCAUGAGUGUCAUGACUGAGCAAGAAGGUGAAGAGCCCGCGCCUGUUUCCUCAUCUGCGGAACGGAGCGAACACGCCACCUACUUCAUGAGACUUAACAGACGAUGGAAGUGGAGCAUUCAGCACAGAGCCUGGCACAUGGUGAGCGUACAUUAUGCAGCGGUUCCUUUUCUCAUCGCCCAGUCCACAAGGCUUCCUGUCUCCCUGUGUGCCCAGAUCUCGACAUGGCUCAGCAGGGCCGGGAGCGGGAGGCUUCUGAGCUCAGCCUGAGGGGAGACCUGGGCUGGCUGGGGGUCAAUGCAGGAACCAAAAUAGGAUGCAAGAAAGGAGAAGGCAAUCUACAGGACUGAGUGUCCUUCAAACUUGUUCACUUUCCCAUAGUGAGAAGUUCAUUUUUCACUCUGACUCAGCAUAAACACGUGCAUGUAUGUAACAUGGAGUUAAAAGCUUCAAGAAGCAAUACUGACUCAUGCUCUAGCUUCUAUUCUCUUCUAUUCCAUCAAAAAAUAUUAAAUGCUAGUCACAACCCAAACACAAGAUUUUUAAAGCUAACGAAAAGUCCAAGCCCGGGCCUGGAACACAGUUGGUCUCACGACUGGUCCCUCUCAGUCUGGGCCAGGGCUGUGUGGACCGACGGGUGAGCAGGUCCACAGGCAUUGUGACUAUUCUCUUCAAGUCUCCAGAAGGCCACCAAGAGGCAGAAGGGGCAGGAGGCAGCAGAGGCUGAGUGGGCAGAUGACGCCCUGAAGAACUGCUUCAGACCCUGUCCAGGACGGCCUUCUGCCCCACAGAGCCAGGUCAGGAGCAGUGGAGUGGGCACCCACGCUGGCUGUCUUCAGGCAGAGGCUAGAGGGCCAUCCACCAGGCCACCUGCACAAUGUGAACCUGACCUGGGAAGGGCCAAGGGCCUGGAGGACCUGAGAGAGGCCAUGUAGCAUGGUGGUCAGCACAGAGCUUCUACUACCAGGCUGCCCAAGCCAAUGGUCCAUGUCCUGGCGCCAUGGCCUCCCAGCUGGGCGGCUGAAGGCAAAUCAUUUACCUCUCUAUGCCCUAGUUUUCUCACUUGUAAAGUGGAGAUGACGAUCCUUCCUCAAAGAGCCCUGUAAGGACUGUGUAUGGAUGUGUGCAUCCUAGAACAGUGCCUGGCGCUGUUGUCAUUUUUAUGCCAAGUCAGAUGAAGGCGCUGACUGGCUGGAGGCCAGCCAGGUUGUGUGCCAACAAAUGCCAUAUGGCUUCGGGGCCCAGCUUUCUCUCUCCACAGCCUCCAACCGGUGAGCCAGGUUCUCCUUGAGAUUGGCAGGGGUGGGAGCAGCAUGGGUAUGUGCCCACCUGCCGCUGCCCUCAGCCAGGGCCCCUCGACAGACAUUCUCCACGGUUCAUUCAUCAUUUGCUUGCUGGCCAGGUUGAGCGGUGAAGGGGAGGAGCUUCGUUCUCUAGAUCACAGGAGCUUUCUCUGGGCUGCCGGAGUGCCCAGGCUAGGUGCUGCAAACUCCUGCAGCGAUUGCCAGUGAGAACUGAAGAUGACUGGGCUUCUGUGACGGCUGGGGACUUGGAAAACUUUUGUGUCUAGCUAAAGGAUUAUAAACGCACCAAUCAGCACUCUCUGUCUAGCUAAAGGUUUGUAAAUGCACCAAUCAGCACUCUGUGUUUAGCUAAGGGAGUGGGGACUUGGAGAACGUUUGUGUCUAGCUGAAGGAUUGUAACGCACCAAUCAGCACUCUGUGUCUAGCUAAAGGUUUGUAAACGCACCAAUCAGCUCUCUGUCAAAAUGGACCAAUCAGCUCUCUGUAAAAUGUACCAAUCAGCUCUCUGUAAAAUGGGCCAAUCAGCUCUCUAUAAAAUGGACCAAUCAGCAGGAUGUGGGUGGGGCCAGAUAAGGGAAUAAAAGAGGGCCACCUGAGUCAGCAGUGGCAACCUGGUCGGUUCUAUUUCCCUGUUUUGGGAUGUCUGUGUUUUUCCUGUUUGCAAUAAAUCUUGUUGCUGUUCUCUG
Long non-coding RNA from Homo sapiens (human), 4083 nucleotides. RefSeq lists it as uncharacterized. The transcript has 4 exons. The record is from RefSeq and is a predicted model, not a curated record. NCBI's taxonomy places the organism in Eukaryota, Metazoa, Chordata, Mammalia, Primates, Hominidae.